GACGGAAGGUGCAAGCGUUGCUCGGAAUCACUGGGCGUAAAGCGCGCGCAGGCGGUCCUUUAAGUCUGAUGUGAAAGCCCACGGCUCAACCGUGGAGGGUCAUUGGAAACUGGGGGACUUGAGUACAGAAGAGAAGAGUGGAAUUCCACGUGUAGCGGUGAAAUGCGUAGAGAUGUGGAGGAACACCAGUGGCGAAGGCGACUCUUUGGUCUGUAACUGACGCUGAGGCGCGAAAGCGUGGGGAGCAAACAGG
RNAcentral lists this ribosomal RNA (253 nucleotides) under uncultured bacterium. RNAcentral's name for it is "partial 16S ribosomal RNA". It matches the Rfam family "Bacterial small subunit ribosomal RNA", at positions 524 to 776 of the family's 1533-position model. The record is from RNAcentral.